Molecule: transfer RNA, 74 nt
Filed under: Phlebopus portentosus
Lineage: Eukaryota; Fungi; Basidiomycota; Agaricomycetes; Boletales; Boletinellaceae
Description: tRNA-Ala (AGC) (tRNA-Ala-AGC-1-1)
Rfam family: tRNA
About the family: Transfer RNA (tRNA) molecules are approximately 80 nucleotides in length.
Source: RNAcentral
GGGCAUAUGGUGUAGUUGGUUAUCACAUCCGCUUAGCAUGCGGGGGGUCGUGGAUUCAAUUUCCACUAUGUCCA